AGAGUUUGAUCAUGGCUCAGAUUGAACGCUGGCGGCAGGCCUAACACAUGCAAGUCGAGCGGUAGCACAGAGAGCUUGCUCUCGGGUGACGAGCGGCGGACGGGUGAGUAAUGUUUGGGAAACUGCCUGAUGGAGGGGGAUAACUACUGGAAACGGUAGCUAAUACCGCAUAACGUCGCAAGACCAAAGUGGGGGACCUUCGGGCCUCAUGCCAUCAGAUGUGCCCAGAUGGGAUUAGCUAGUAGGUGGGGUAAUGGCUCACCUAGGCGACGAUCCCUAGCUGGUCUGAGAGGAUGACCAGCCACACUGGAACUGAGACACGGUCCAGACUCCUACGGGAGGCAGCAGUGGGGAAUAUUGCACAAUGGGCGCAAGCCUGAUGCAGCCAUGCCGCGUGUAUGAAGAAGGCCUUCGGGUUGUAAAGUACUUUCAGCGAGGAGGAAGGCGUUAAGGUUAAUAACCUUGGCGAUUGACGUUACCGCAGAAGAAGCACCGGCUAACUCGUGCCAGCAGCCGCGGUAAUAC
Molecule: ribosomal RNA, 525 nt
Filed under: uncultured bacterium
Lineage: Bacteria
Description: bacterial SSU rRNA
Rfam family: Bacterial small subunit ribosomal RNA
Source: RNAcentral